UGGCUCAGGAUGAACGCUGGCGGUAUGCUUAACACAUGCAAGUCGAACGGGAUGCUUAGGCAUCUAGUGGCGGACGGGUGAGUAACGCGUGAGAAUCUGGCUCCAGGUCGGGGAUAACAGUUGGAAACGACUGCUAAUACCGGAUGUGCCGAGAGGUGAAAGAUUUAUUGCCUGGAGAUGAGCUCGCGUCUGAUUAGCUAGUUGGUGGUGUAAGGGACCACCAAGGCGUCGAUCAGUAGCUGGUCUGAGAGGAUGAUCAGCCACACUGGGACUGAGACACGGCCCAGACUCCUACGGGAGGCAGCAGUGGGGAAUUUUCCGCAAUGGGCGAAAGCCUGACGGAGCAAUACCGCGUGAGGGAGGAAGGCUCUUGGGUCGUAAACCUCUUUUCUCAAGGAAGAAGAAAGUGACGGUACUUGAGGAAUAAGCAUCGGCUAACUCCGUGCCAGCAGCCGCGGUAAUACGGAGGAUGCAAGCGUUAUCCGGAAUGAUUGGGCGUAAAGGGUCUGCAGGUGGAACUGAAAGUCUGCUGUUAAAGAGUUUGGCUUAACCAAAUAAAAGCGGUGGAAACUACAGAACUAGAGUGCGGUAGGGGCAAAAGGAAUUCCUGGUGUAGCGGUGAAAUGCGUAGAUAUCAGGAAGAACACCGGUGGCGAAAGCGUUUUGCUAGACCGUAACUGACACUGAGGGACGAAAGCUAGGGGAGCGAAUGGGAUUAGAUACCCCAGUAGUCCUAGCCGUAAACGAUGGAUACUAGGCGUGGCUUGUAUCGACCCGAGCCGUGCCGGAGCUAACGCGUUAAGUAUCCCGCCUGGGGAGUACGCACGCAAGUGUGAAACUCAAAGGAAUUGACGGGGGCCCGCACAAGCGGUGGAGUAUGUGGUUUAAUUCGAUGCAACGCGAAGAACCUUACCAAGACUUGACAUCCUGCGAAUCCCGGUGAAAGCUGGUAGUGCCUUAGGGAGCGCAAGACAGGUGGUGCAUGGCUGUCGUCAGCUCGUGUCGUGAGAUGUUGGGUUAAGUCCCGCAACGAGCGCAACCCUCGUUUUUAGUUGCCAGCAUUAAGUUGGGCACUCUAGAGAGACUGCCGGUGACAAACCGGAGGAAGGUGAGGAUGACGUCAAGUCAGCAUGCCCCUUACGUCUUGGGCUACACACGUACUACAAUGCUACGGACAGAGGGCAGCAAGCCAGGGAUGGCAAGCGAAUCCAGAAACCGUAGCUCAGUUCAGAUCGAAGGCUGCAACUCGCCUUCGUGAAGGAGAAUCGCUAGUAAUUGCAGGUCAGCAUACUGCAGUGAAUUCGUUCCCGGGCCUUGUACACACCGCCCGUCACACCAUGGAAGUUGGUCACGCCCGAAGUCAUUACCCCAACCGAAAGGAGGGGGAUGCCUAAGGUAGGACUGGUGACUGGUGUGAAGUCGUAACAAGGUAGCCGUA
RNAcentral lists this ribosomal RNA (1438 nucleotides) under Cylindrospermopsis raciborskii. RNAcentral describes it as "16S ribosomal RNA". It matches the Rfam family "Bacterial small subunit ribosomal RNA". Lineage: Bacteria; Bacillati; Cyanobacteriota; Cyanophyceae; Nostocales; Aphanizomenonaceae. The record is from RNAcentral.